RNAcentral lists this microRNA precursor (103 nucleotides) under Marmota monax (woodchuck). Lineage: Eukaryota; Metazoa; Chordata; Mammalia; Rodentia; Sciuridae. The record is from RNAcentral.
AGUGGGAUAGCUGGGUCAAAUAGUGGCUCCAUUCCAAGUUUUCUGAGGAAUCUCCAUACUGCUUUCCAGAGUGGUUGUACCACUUUUCAGUUUCACCAGCAAU